Molecule: long non-coding RNA, 321 nt
Organism: Sinocyclocheilus grahami
Lineage: Eukaryota; Metazoa; Chordata; Actinopteri; Cypriniformes; Cyprinidae
Exons: 3
Source: RefSeq, a predicted model, not a curated record
GUCUCUUCUGAUGUUCACAGCAACCCAACUUCAAGCAGAAGUUUGUGGCCUUAUUGAAGAGAUUCAAAGUCACAGAUGAGGUUCUGGACUCAGACCCGGUGGAUCAGACACAGGAGGUGGAGGAGGAUCUGGAUCUGCUUUAUGACAGUCUGGAGGUUUUUAAUCAGAGCGACAGCGGCCCGGAGCUGGAGGACAACGAGAGCGUCCUGAGCACCCCGAAACCCAAACUCAAGCCGUUUUUUGAGGGCAUGUCUCACUCCAGUUCUCAAACAGAGAUCGGCAGCGUUCACAGUCACAAUCAACACCGAGACGCAGCGUCCA